AAACCAGGUGCGGUCGCGGCCCCCGGGGGCUUGCUCCCGGGUGGUAGGGGUAACACCCUCACGCGCCGCCUGCCUGUACCCUCUUUUUACGAGCACCUUUCGUUCUCCUUCGGCGGGGCAACCUGCCGCUGGAACCAAAACAAAACCUUUUUUGCAUCUAGCAUUACCUGUUCUGAUACAAAUAAUCGUUACAACUUUCAACAAUGGAUCUCUUGGCUCUGGCAUCGAUGAAGAACGCAGCGAAAUGCGAUAAGUAGUGUGAAUUGCAGAAUUCAGUGAAUCAUCGAAUCUUUGAACGCACAUUGCGCCCCUUGGUAUUCCAUGGGGCAUGCCUGUUCGAGCGUCAUCUACACCCUCAAGCUCUGCUUGGUGUUGGGCGUCUGUCCCGCCUCUGCGCGCGGACUCGCCCCAAAUUCAUUGGCAGCGGUCUUUGCCUCCUCUCGCGCAGCACAAUUGCGUCUGCGGGGGGGCGUGGCCCGCGUCCACGAAGCAACAUUACCGUCUUUGACCUCGGAUCAGGUAGGGAUACCCGCUGAACUUAAGCAUAUCAAUAA
Molecule: ribosomal RNA, 554 nt
Filed under: fungal sp.
Lineage: Eukaryota; Fungi
Description: eukaryotic LSU rRNA
Rfam family: 5.8S ribosomal RNA (bases 193-346)
Source: RNAcentral